GGGCCCGUAGCUCAGCGGCAGAGCGGGCGGCUCAUAACCGCUUGGUCGCAGGUUCGAAUCCUGCCGGGCCCACCA
Molecule: transfer RNA, 75 nt
Filed under: Dehalococcoidia bacterium
Lineage: Bacteria; Bacillati; Chloroflexota; Dehalococcoidia
Also listed under: 4 other names
Description: tRNA-Ile
Rfam family: tRNA
About the family: Transfer RNA (tRNA) molecules are approximately 80 nucleotides in length. Their secondary structure includes four short double-helical elements and three loops (D, anti-codon, and T loops).
Source: RNAcentral